UUUCCCAGAAAGCACUGCCAGUGACGACGCCUCAUUCUCAGUCCCUGGACCGCUCUCAGUCGGUUGCCAUGGAAAUUGUCACUAACGAGGAAUGGGGGAGGGCCGGAAAUGUCGGAGCAGGGGCCCGGGCCACCCGAGGGGGACUUCCGCUUCCUCGUUGUCCUCUUUUCCUCGCCUGCUCUGCCUCUGAGGACCCUGCUCUUCCCCAAGAGGGAAGCAUUCAGGAGAGAAUGGUCCCUGUGAUCCCAACAGCCAGGUGCCAGCACCUAGCACAAUGACUUUUAGAUCCUGCCUUUGACUAGUGUACAAUCUUAGGCAGAUUCCUUAGCCUUCUGAGGCUUAGUUCUGUCAUUUUGGAAAUGGGAGAGGCCUGGAAAGUAAUAAUGGAGACCAAGGAAGAGGAGAAGUUGUUGAAGCCAGACCUCAGUUCUUUGAAAGGCAUUAGUGCGGUGUCAGGCAUGUGGUAUGGUCUUAAAAUACAUGGGAUACUUGGGAAACUAGAGGCAAUGAAGCA
RNAcentral lists this long non-coding RNA (514 nucleotides) under Vombatus ursinus (common wombat). RNAcentral describes it as "lncRNA (ENSVURG00010016747.1)". The record is from RNAcentral. Lineage: Eukaryota; Metazoa; Chordata; Mammalia; Diprotodontia; Vombatidae.